This 1496-nucleotide long non-coding RNA is filed under the name Anolis carolinensis (green anole). RNAcentral's name for it is "lncRNA (ENSACAG00000039247.1)". The record is from RNAcentral. Lineage: Eukaryota; Metazoa; Chordata; Lepidosauria; Squamata; Anolidae.
ACAAAGACCCCUUCUACACUACCAUACAAAAUCCAGAUUAUCUGUUUUGAACUGGUUUAUAUGGCAGUGUAGACUCAGGGCCCUUUCACACAGCCAUAUAACCCAGAAUAUCAGGGCAGAUAAUUCACAAUAUCUGCUUUGAACUGGGUUAUCUGAGUCUACACUGUUCAAUGCGGAUUUUAUACAGUUGUGUGGAAGGAGCCUCAUAUAAUCCACCUCAAAGCAGAUGUGGAUUAUCUGCUUUGAAUUAUCAUAUAAUCCAGUUCAAAGAAGGUAAUCUGGAUUUUAUACAGCAGUGUAGAAGGGGCCUCUAGAGGUAAAUAGCUUAUCCUAGAAUGCUGAUGAGCCGUGCAAGUCCCAUGAUGAGAGGAGUAUACCAGGUUAUUGGUGUAUGUGCAAUAAAAAGCACAAACAAUAGACCUUAUCUCGGUGUGAGGAAAGUUAAAGUUACAAGGAAUUUAAGAAGCCUUUAAGAAGAUCUACACUGCCCUAUACCCCGGGGUCUGAUUCCAGAUUAUUUGCUUUGAACUGGAUUAUAUGAGUCUACACUGCCAGAUAAUCUGGGAUAAGAAGAUAAUCAGGCAGUGUAGAUCCAGCCUUAGAGAUGUGUGAUGGACCAAAAGAUGAAACUAUGAACUUCACAUAUGUAUAUGAAAUAGCUGGGAAAACAUUUGGCACUAGGUAGGUAAUAAUGAUAUAAUUUAAAUUAUCCAAUAGAAUGUUUGGUUUGAGUAAAAGAGGAAGUCAUUCUGCCCAGCCAGUAUGUGAAUUUAUUUCUUGUCACAAGCAGCUACAUUCUACGUAUCUCCCAAGAUCAAAUCUCUUACAUUCACCAUUUAUACAUGUUAUCUAAGAAGCUACCUUUUCAGCUUUAGUCUGUGUGGACACAUAUUAGGAAAAUUUAUAAUUCUCUGACAAAAAUAUCUGUGUGAAAGUUCACAGUUCCAGGCUAAUACUGUUGAGCCAUGCUUAAUUACUUGGCUUUGAUAGUGUACCGUAAUUCUUUCAAUUCUGCUUUAAAUGCCAUGUUCUUUUAUUAUCCUUUGUUUUUUUAAAAAAAAUGAAAUUUGAAAAGCAACAAAAAUCAACUUUUAAAAAAGCAACUUGUUAGAUGUCAAUUCUUUUUAGAUGAAAACAAUUAGCAGUGACAUUUGAUAUAUCUUAAAGGUCUCCGAGCUGAAUCAUACGGAACUGUUUACUCAAUUAAUAUUUUAUUUUGCAACUUUUACCAUCAGGACAAUAUGAUUCCCGAAAUGCAUCAAUUAUUUAACUGUAUAAAGCAAUGUAGAUUUGUCAGCCAAAAUAGUUUGGAAUAAAGGCUGCCAAAAUGAGACCCUUGUCUUUAGGAGAUAGAAUAUUUCUAGGUUAUCUUUCUCAUGAUGUACCAAUAAUUUCCUCAUCUUUUCCCUUGAAAGGCUGUAACAUGCUUGUUUGAAACAUGUUUUCAUACUUUGUUUUAAAAACAGCAAAGACAUGUAAAAAGAGGACAGUUCUUU